This 253-nucleotide ribosomal RNA is filed under the name uncultured bacterium. RNAcentral describes it as "partial 16S ribosomal RNA". It matches the Rfam family "Bacterial small subunit ribosomal RNA", at positions 524 to 776 of the family's 1533-position model. The record is from RNAcentral.
UACGGGGGGGGUAAGCGUUGCUCGGAAUCACUGGGCGUAAAGCGCACGUAGGCGGAUCUUUAAGUCAGGGGUGAAAUCCCAAGGCUCAACCUUGGAACUGCCUUUGAUACUGGGGAUCUCGAGUCCGGAAGAGGUGAGUGGAACUGCGAGUGUAGAGGUGAAAUUCGUAGAUAUUCGCAAGAACACCAGUGGCGAAGGCGGAUCUCUGGGCCAUUACUGACGCUGAGGAGCGAAAGCGUGGGGAGCGAACAGG